UGGUUAACUUACACCUGCCCCC
This 22-nucleotide microRNA is filed under the name Xenopus tropicalis (tropical clawed frog). RNAcentral's name for it is "xtr-miR-449a-3p". Its record names the gene xtr-miR-449a-3p. Lineage: Eukaryota; Metazoa; Chordata; Amphibia; Anura; Pipidae. The record is from miRBase by way of RNAcentral.